GAUACGGGAAUUAGGGUUCGAUUCUGGAGAAGGAGCCUGAGAACGGCUACUACAUCUACCGAAGGCAGCAGGCGCGUAAUUACCCUAUCCUGACUCAGGGAGGUGGUGACAAGAUAUAACAACGCACUUUAAUUGUGAUUGUAGUGAGGGUUUUCCAUACCGAACCACUAGUACGAUUAGAGGGCAAGUCUGGUGCCAGCAGCCGCGGUAAUUCCAGCUCUAAUAGCGUAUAUUAAAGUUGCUGCAGUUAAAAGCUCGUAUUUGGUUUUUUAGGAUUGUGUACUCUUCUAGGUAUGCACCCUACUAGUCUUUGACUGUUACUGUGAGAAAAUUAGAGUGUUCAAAGCAGCAGUUGCAAGUCUACAUUAGCAUGGAAAACGAAUGUCUCAGAAUCAGGACAAACAAGCCGAUUAAUAGAGACAGUUGGGGGCAUUAGAUCUCACUUCUCUCUGUCGAUAUUCUUGGAUGUGCUAAGACUACGGAUGCGAUAGCAUCUGCCACGCAUCGUUUCAUUUAUUCAGGACGAACGAUACGGGAUUAAAUCAUCGAUACUGUCGUAGUCUAUUCUAUAACUAUGCCGACUAGGGAUGGAUGGAAGAUUGACAUUUCGUACUUAGACAAUCAGCCUUGGGUUCUGGGGGGAGUGUCCAGACUGACUACUAUGCCGACGCCCGAUGGACUGCGCUGAUUGACCACGGGACUUCAGCACAUAUAGACUGCAAUUGACCUCUCUGAUCUGGGGGGGGCAGGCCGCUCUAUUGGGAAGAUUGCGGAU
This 775-nucleotide ribosomal RNA is filed under the name uncultured rumen protozoa. RNAcentral describes it as "bacterial SSU rRNA". The stretch from base 1 to 637 matches the Rfam family "Eukaryotic small subunit ribosomal RNA", at positions 358 to 1116 of the family's 1831-position model. The record is from RNAcentral.